Molecule: transfer-messenger RNA, 406 nt
Filed under: Patescibacteria group
Lineage: Bacteria
Also listed under: 1 other name
Description: XYD2-FULL-41-14 sp001784435 Standard tmRNA
Rfam family: transfer-messenger RNA
About the family: Bacterial tmRNA, also known as 10Sa RNA or SsrA, is named for its dual tRNA and mRNA-like properties. Its role is to liberate the mRNA from a stalled ribosome.
Source: RNAcentral
GGGGGCGUUGGGCAUCGACGGUAAAAUCGGUUGUCACUCGCAAGUAGAGACGGUUUCGGGCCUCUUUAAUCUGCCGAAACAACAUAAUAAGUGCCAACUUGUUAUCAAAAGUUAAGAACGCGAUUGCUGUCGCCUUUGGCGGCUGCGGUAGCUGUAACUUAGCUCCGACUUUGGCCUAAGGGCCGGUCGGCAUCGUCUGUGUAAGAUUCCGUAGCACAGAUCCGGUGUAAACCACGGAAAGUAGUUUAUUUUGGCGCCGGACAAAAUAAGCGAAAUUAAUUCGGCUAAGCGAACGUGACUUUUGCGCUUUUCGUACCCGUUCGUCGAAAAAAAUAAAAACGCUAAACUUGUAGAAGGUAAUAAUCGUUUUCAUCGGACGCGAGUUCAACUCUCGCCGCCUCCACAA